AGCGAACGCUGGCGGCAGGCCUAACACAUGCAAGUCGAGCGCCCGUAGCAAUACGGGAGCGGCAGACGGGAUAGUAACACGUGGGAACGUACCCUUCAGUUCGGAACAACCCAGGGAAACUUGGGCUAAUACCGAAUACGUCCGUAAGGAGAAAGAUUUAUCGCUGAAGGAUCGGCCCGCGUCUGAUUAGCUAGUUGGUGAGGUAAUGGCUCACCAAGGCGACGAUCAGUAGCGGUCUGAGAGGAUGAUCAGCAUCACUGGGACUGAGACACGGCCCAGACUCCUACGGGAGGCAGCAGUGGGGGAAUAUUGGACAAUGGGCGCAAGCCUGAUCCAAGCAAUGCCGCGUGUGUGAAGAAGG
RNAcentral lists this ribosomal RNA (361 nucleotides) under uncultured bacterium. RNAcentral's name for it is "bacterial SSU rRNA". It matches the Rfam family "Bacterial small subunit ribosomal RNA", at positions 29 to 414 of the family's 1533-position model. The record is from RNAcentral.